GAAGAAAAUAGAUGGCAACAGGACAAGAAUGGGAGCAGGUAGACCCUCCCAGUCCAGGCAAAUAUUACCAGUGGCUAAGAGUAAGGUAGUAUCAGUGAAGAAGUGAUCCUAUUAUUGAUAGAUCUUAAAGCAGAGUAGACAAGACUUGCUGAUUAAUUAAAUGUUACGCGUGAGAGAAAUAUAAAAGUUAAGGAUGAAACCAAAGUUUUUAACCUAAACAACUUGGAGGAUGGAGGGGGAAACAAAGGAACUAGUUGCAAGCAAAAAGGCCUGAGAGAAUCUCAUUGACGCUUCCACCAUGAGAAGACAUGGUGAGAAAGCACCAUCCAUGAACCAGAAAGUGUAUCCCCUUACCAGACUCUGAAUCUGCCAGAGCCUUCACCCUGGAUGUUCUAGCCUCCAGAACUUCGAGAAAUAAAUUUCUGUUGCUUGUAAGCUACUCGGUUUGUGGCAUUUUGCUAUAGCAGCUCAAAUAGACUAAGACAUGUAGUUAACCUACAAUGAUGAGCUUCUGCUGCUCUAAGAUCUUGUAUAUACCCGACUGCUCUGUUUCCAUACCUUUUGACAUAUACAGUAACUUUUCAUGUCAAUACCAAUUCAUGGUGUGAUCUUUAUGAAGAUACUUUAAAGAGCAAUGAAACAUCAUUCUAUGCUGUGCUAGGAAUAUACCUAACUCAGCUGAUGUGACAACAAAAAUAGCUAUGGCCAACAUCGCAUGUACCCAGGCAAUGACAACCAUGGCAAAACUGCUGCCUGACCAACAACUGCUAUAAGAUACCACUGACUGUAAGAAGCAUCCUACCUCAGAGAUAAUAAAGUACAGAGGGAAGUGCUACUUAGAAUUGAUGAAAUAUU
Molecule: long non-coding RNA, 855 nt
Filed under: Homo sapiens (human)
Lineage: Eukaryota; Metazoa; Chordata; Mammalia; Primates; Hominidae
Description: HSALNT0368987
Source: RNAcentral